UGGGGGAUAUUGCACAAUGGGCGAAAGCCUGAUGCAGCGACGCCGCGUGGGGGAUGAAGGCUCUCGGGUUGUAAACCUCUUUCGCUAUCGAACAAGGCCCGCUUAGGGUGGGUUGAGGGUAGGUGGAGAAGAAGCGCCGGCUAACUACGUGCCAGCAGCCGCGGUAAUACGUAGGGCGCGAGCGUUGUCCGGAAUUAUUGGGCGUAAAGGGCUUGUAGGCGGCUUGUUGCGCCUGCUGUGAAAACGCGGGGCUUAACUUCGCGCGUGCAGUGGGUACGGGCAGGCUUGAGUGUGGUAGGGGUGACUGGAAUUCCAGGUGUAGCGGUGGAAUGCGCAGAUAUCUGGAGGAACACCGAUGGCGAAGGCAGGUCACUGGGCCAUUACUGACGCUGAGGAGCGAAAGCAUGGGUAGCGAACAGG
Molecule: ribosomal RNA, 420 nt
Filed under: bacterium
Lineage: Bacteria
Description: partial 16S ribosomal RNA
Rfam family: Bacterial small subunit ribosomal RNA
Source: RNAcentral